This 1073-nucleotide long non-coding RNA is filed under the name Mustela putorius furo (domestic ferret). RNAcentral describes it as "lncRNA (ENSMPUG00000027879.1)". Lineage: Eukaryota; Metazoa; Chordata; Mammalia; Carnivora; Mustelidae. The record is from RNAcentral.
AAUUUUGAACAAAUGGCUUGACCUCUUUUAUUUUUAAUCUUCUCUCCCAUUUUUCAGAUGAAGAGACUGAAGCCCAGAGAAGGCAAAGACUUACCUCAAGCCACACAGUGACUUAAAAAAGAGCAGAGCAUCCGGUUCCCUUGUCCACACUACAGUAUCUGCUGCCUCUCCCGAAGGCAAGAGAAAGCAGCAGGAAGAGUCAGAGAGGAAAGGGAGUGCCCAUGAGUAGAAGUCACCACGGACCACCACCUGUGAAGAUGCUUCUGUAUGACUGGUAGUAUUUAUGGCCAAUGUGGAUGAUGACUCCUCCCCUCUCCAACCUUGAAUUUUUCUCAUUUAAAUUUAUACUGGCCUCCAUUUUCAAUUCUUAUUUCUGUAGAAGCUAUUUGGGUCAUAGUAUUAUGUUUUUUUGUUUGUUUCCUCAAUUAUCUUAAUGAUUUUUGCUGAAAUUUGUUUCUAAUCCCUGCAGAACAAAGAAAGGUACAAACAACCAAAUAAACCACAAAUCACAAUGAUUUCCGUGCAUCACCUGUGGUGUUGUCUCAUGAAGGAACUCCUGGGAAGAAGGCUGAAGACCAGAUUGGGGCACAGAGGUUUGAGAGCAAGAAGGAUAUUCAAACCAUAUAACAGCCAGAAAAGCAGAGGCAGCAACCAUUUGGAAGCACACUGGCAGUGGUCCUGGAGUUCCCCAGGAAAAAGUUGGGAUGGCAGUGGUGGUGGGCCAACGCUCCACAGAAGCUUAAGACAGGACAACUGAUAUUAAGUAUAACAGUAUUUCAAUGACGAGCAGAGCAUACCAGGUAAAUUGGCCAUGUUGGAGAGGAAAGUUAACUUCCACUCAGACAAAGAAUUUUCAUUGUGUGACUUGGGAUUUGAACUCUGCGAAGAUGACACUCUUUCUGUUGUGCAUACUCUCAUUUGAUCUCUCCAUCCUUUAUGUGAGGACAAACUGCAGACAUGCCUGGGACGAUGAGCACCAACAAACUCUCCUGGAGGCGUCAGCGAUGUCAAAGACUUUCCUCUGAAUAGCUUUGUCGCAUUGGUGGAGAGAUUCUCCAACAACCUUGGGAAUG